UCGCCGACUGGUGCAAGGCGGCCGAGCUGCACGCCUCGUACGGGCACGAGGUGCCCGUCUUCACCUAUCCCCGCGGUCCCAUGCCGCGGCCGGCGGGC
RNAcentral lists this transfer RNA (98 nucleotides) under Sphaerisporangium siamense. Its description in RNAcentral is "tRNA-Arg". The record is from RNAcentral. Lineage: Bacteria; Bacillati; Actinomycetota; Actinomycetes; Streptosporangiales; Streptosporangiaceae.